GAAUCAAAACUUUCAACAACGGAUCUCUUGGUUCUGGCAUCGAUGAAGAACGCAGCGAAAUGCGAUAAGUAAUGUGAAUUGCAGAAUUCAGUGAAUCAUCGAAUCUUUGAACGCACAUUGCGCCCUCUGGUAUUCCAGAGGGCAUGCCUGUUCGAGCGUCAUUUCAACCCUCAAGCCUAGCUUGGUGUUGGGGCAUUACCUUCCCUUACGGGAGGGUAAGCCCUGAAAUUUAGUGGCGAGCUCGCCAGGACUCCGAGCGCAGUAGUAAAACCCUCGCUUUGGACUGUACUGGCGCGGCCCUGCCGUAAAACCCCCAACUUCUGAAAAUUGACCUCGAUCAGGUAGGAAUACCCGCUGAACUUAAGCAUAUCAAUA
RNAcentral lists this ribosomal RNA (375 nucleotides) under Cytospora schulzeri. RNAcentral's name for it is "partial 5.8S ribosomal RNA". The stretch from base 8 to 161 matches the Rfam family "5.8S ribosomal RNA". The record is from RNAcentral. Lineage: Eukaryota; Fungi; Ascomycota; Sordariomycetes; Diaporthales; Cytosporaceae.